UGACGCGUAGUGCAACCGGCAGUACGGCGGACUCUGACUUCGCAGGUCCAGGUUCGAAUCCUGGCGCGUCAGC
RNAcentral lists this transfer RNA (73 nucleotides) under Nocardia macrotermitis. RNAcentral describes it as "tRNA-Gln". It matches the Rfam family "tRNA". From Rfam's summary of the family: Transfer RNA (tRNA) molecules are approximately 80 nucleotides in length. Their secondary structure includes four short double-helical elements and three loops (D, anti-codon, and T loops). Lineage: Bacteria; Bacillati; Actinomycetota; Actinomycetes; Mycobacteriales; Nocardiaceae. The record is from RNAcentral.